ACGUCAUCAUUGAGUAAACUUUGACCCGGAACCUCACAGUCAGCAGACACUUCCUGGGAGGGAGGGUCUGCUGCUGAUUGGGUGGAACGUGUCUGCUGGCUGUGAGGUUCCGGGUCAAAGUUUACUCAAUGAUGACGC
Molecule: non-coding RNA, 138 nt
Organism: Pelobates cultripes (western spadefoot toad)
Lineage: Eukaryota; Metazoa; Chordata; Amphibia; Anura; Pelobatidae
Source: the annotation of a GenBank genome assembly